RNAcentral lists this ribosomal RNA (491 nucleotides) under uncultured bacterium. RNAcentral describes it as "partial 16S ribosomal RNA". It matches the Rfam family "Bacterial small subunit ribosomal RNA", at positions 29 to 506 of the family's 1533-position model. The record is from RNAcentral.
AGUGAACGCUGGCGGUAGGCCUAACACAUGCAAGUCGAACGGCAGCACAGUAAGAGCUUGCUCUUACGGGUGGCGAGUGGCGGACGGGUGAGGAAUACAUCGGAAUCUACUUUUUCGUGGGGGAUAACGUAGGGAAACUUACGCUAAUACCGCAUACGACCUACGGGUGAAAGCAGGGGAUCUUCGGACCUUGCGCGAUUGAAUGAGCCGAUGUCGGAUUAGCUAGUUGGCGGGGUAAAGGCCCACCAAGGCGACGAUCCGUAGCUGGUCUGAGAGGAUGAUCAGCCACACUGGAACUGAGACACGGUCCAGACUCCUACGGGAGGCAGCAGUGGGAAAUAUUGGACAAGGGGCGCAAGCCUGAACCAGCCAUACCGCGUGGGUGAAGAAGGCCUUCGGGUUGUAAAGCCCUUUUGUUGGGAAAGAAAAGCAGCAGGUUAAUACCCCGCUGUUCUGACGGUACCCAAAGAAUAAGCACCGGCUAACUUCGU